CGCAGUUUAAAUCAUCUCACAAUAGAUUCACGAAACAAGUGGAAAACUCGAGAAAUAAAACUGCUUUUAAUGAAGACUGUGAGAAAGUUAAACUUUAUAAACCGCGUUAUGAGACGAGAUGAUGAGAGACUGAAUCUUUACCUCAGAGGAUCAUUUAUUUCUUUGUUCUUUAAUGUAAAUUUCUCCUCGACCGUUCUCCAGACGUGGACAACUAUUCUGAAGACGACGAUGACAGUUAUUCUUCAGAGCAGGAGGUCAGUGAUGAUGCCGUUCAGGGUCAGUGGAUAUGAACAGAAGUUCAGAUGCGUCUAUAGCGCUUCACUCUACAGCUGUUGAGCAGACGGCUGGGGGGGAUGUCACAUGUGACGGGGAUGUGAACGCAGACAAAUCAGCAGCAAACAUCGGCAAACUCUGCAAGGCCGAGUCUCAGACUCUCAUGUCGUGGAGACGCUGUGUCUUUCGUUAAAAAAAACGGCUGCUUCACGAACGCUUUGGUUAAAAGUGGGGCUAUUCCAACCAUUAAAACUUUACAAGGACAGUCUGGCGCUUUUGAUUUGCAGCCUGAUGACAGUGAAGUUCUGAGAUCAGCAAGGCACCUUUUGUCACUUUUGAGCAAUCAAAGACAAAGAGCUGAUGGGCCUUCUACUAGCCAGGAUAGUAACA
Triplophysa dalaica is the source of this 663-nucleotide long non-coding RNA. RefSeq lists it as uncharacterized. The transcript has 6 exons. The record is from RefSeq and is a predicted model, not a curated record. NCBI's taxonomy places the organism in Eukaryota, Metazoa, Chordata, Actinopteri, Cypriniformes, Nemacheilidae.